GGGAGGGAUCUAUGGAGAAUAGCCCUCUAGUAAAGAAUAAAGAAUUAAUCUAAGCCUUUAGAUAUAUUAUAUUCGACAGCCAUGAUUAAUUCCAAAUAUCCAUUAAAAAAUCUUGUUUAGUUAAUAUAAACCAUUGUAAUAUUCCUUUGAGGGUUAUUCAGUCUUUUAAAUCCACCCACGAUCUGCCCAAAUCUCUCCCUUUCAAAUUACACGCCUCCAUUAACCCCCAUUUCUAGUCUCAUUCUCUCUCUCUCUCUCUCUCUCUCAUCUCUCAAUUUCGUGAAGCUGCUGUUCGGUGGAGGGUGACGACUUCACGGCUGAGUCGAAGAAGAGAACCAUGGGAAAGCGCUUGUGGCGGCGGACGAAGAGACUGGUGUAGUGUAUUCGCGGUUGCAUGCGACGGCAGCGGCCUCCGAUUAGCCCCAAUUUUCGAAAGAAUUCAUUUUUCUGACGCUUCCGUUCGCCCUCUCCUCAUCUCCGGCGGAAAAUUUAUUUAUAGAUCUUGUCGAAUCAUGAAUCUGAUAGAGUAGCGGAGCGUCUCCGAUCUCACCUUCUCUGUCCUUUAAUGUGAUCUUAACCACCGUCGCCUCUAGAGAAAUUUUUUAGUCCCUGAUCUUCGCACUAUUUUUCCGUUUGGAGAUAAAGGUAACCGACACCAAGACUUUGGAAUGACUUGUUUUCACAUUUGAUUUAAUAUUUUUUAUUGUGUAAAUUAGGUGAUACAAUAGAGAUAUAGUGCGCACCAACUUUUUUUGAUGAAAUAUGCUU
RNAcentral lists this long non-coding RNA (768 nucleotides) under Salvia miltiorrhiza (redroot sage). Its description in RNAcentral is "long non-coding RNA (SMIL_LNC000343)". Lineage: Eukaryota; Viridiplantae; Streptophyta; Magnoliopsida; Lamiales; Lamiaceae. The record is from RNAcentral.